This 108-nucleotide ribosomal RNA is filed under the name uncultured bacterium. RNAcentral's name for it is "partial 16S ribosomal RNA". It matches the Rfam family "Bacterial small subunit ribosomal RNA", at positions 249 to 353 of the family's 1533-position model. The record is from RNAcentral.
UUGGUGUGGACGGGACGCCACCAAGCCUUCGAUGGAUAGGGGUUCUGAGAGGAAGGUCCCCCACAUUGGAACUGAGACACGGUCCAAACUCCUACGGGAGGCAGCAUG